RNAcentral lists this transfer RNA (90 nucleotides) under Bifidobacteriaceae bacterium. Its description in RNAcentral is "tRNA-Ser". It matches the Rfam family "tRNA". Rfam says of the family: Transfer RNA (tRNA) molecules are approximately 80 nucleotides in length. Their secondary structure includes four short double-helical elements and three loops (D, anti-codon, and T loops). Further hydrogen bonds mediate the characteristic L-shaped molecular structure. tRNAs have two regions of fundamental functional importance: the anti-codon, which is responsible for specific mRNA codon recognition, and the 3' end, to which the tRNAs corresponding amino acid is attached (by aminoacyl-tRNA synthetases). tRNAs cope with the degeneracy of the genetic code in two manners: having more than one tRNA (with a specific anti-codon) for a particular amino acid; and 'wobble' base-pairing, i.e. permitting non-standard base-pairing at the 3rd anti-codon position. Lineage: Bacteria; Bacillati; Actinomycetota; Actinomycetes; Bifidobacteriales; Bifidobacteriaceae. The record is from RNAcentral.
GGUGGUGUGUCCGAGCGGCCUAAGGAGCACGCCUCGAAAGCGUGUGUGGGGGUGACUCCACCGGGGGUUCGAAUCCCCCCGCCACCGCCA